GCAAACUUGGUCAUUUAGAGGAAGUAAAAGUCGUAACAAGGUCUCCGUUGGUGAACCAGCGGAGGGAUCAUUACUGAGUUUAACAACUCCCAAACCUUUGUGAACAUACCACUGUUGCUUCGGCGGUCGCACCAGGUGUCUCCCGGCAUCUGGAUACCCGCGGCCGCCGAGGGUAUCAAACUCUUGUCUUUACAGCGGACUUCUGAGUACAAAACAAAAAUAAAUCAAAACUUUCAGCAACGGAUCUCUUGGCUCUGGCAUCGAUGAAGAACGCAGC
Molecule: unclassified non-coding RNA, 277 nt
Filed under: uncultured fungus
Lineage: Eukaryota; Fungi
Description: partial contains small subunit ribosomal RNA, internal transcribed spacer 1, and 5.8S ribosomal RNA
Rfam family: Eukaryotic small subunit ribosomal RNA (bases 1-73)
Source: RNAcentral